This 510-nucleotide ribosomal RNA is filed under the name Halobacillus faecis. Its description in RNAcentral is "bacterial SSU rRNA". It matches the Rfam family "Bacterial small subunit ribosomal RNA", at positions 46 to 538 of the family's 1533-position model. Lineage: Bacteria; Bacillati; Bacillota; Bacilli; Caryophanales; Bacillaceae. RNAcentral also lists the same sequence under 1 other name. The record is from RNAcentral.
GUCGAGCGCGGGAAGCGAGUGGAUCCCUUCGGGGUGAAGCUCGUGGAACGAGCGGCGGACGGGUGAGUAACACGUGGGCAACCUGCCUGUAAGAUCGGAAUAACCCCGGGAAACCGGGGCUAAUGCCGGGUAAUACUUUCUUUCGCAUGAAGGAAAGUUGAAAGAUGGCUUCUCGCUAUCACUUACAGAUGGGCCCGCGGCGCAUUAGCUAGUUGGUGAGGUAACGGCUCACCAAGGCGACGAUGCGUAGCCGACCUGAGAGGGUGAUCGGCCACACUGGGACUGAGACACGGCCCAGACUCCUACGGGAGGCAGCAGUAGGGAAUCUUCCGCAAUGGACGAAAGUCUGACGGAGCAACGCCGCGUGAACGAUGAAGGUCUUCGGAUCGUAAAGUUCUGUUGUUAGGGAAGAACAAGUACCGUUCGAACAGGGCGGUACCUUGACGGUACCUAACGAGGAAGCCCCGGCUAACUACGUGCCAGCAGCCGCGGUAAUACGUAGGGGGCAAG